Long non-coding RNA from Callithrix jacchus (white-tufted-ear marmoset), 1813 nucleotides. The record is from Ensembl. NCBI's taxonomy places the organism in Eukaryota, Metazoa, Chordata, Mammalia, Primates, Cebidae.
UGAUAUUUCAGAUGGUAAGAUUUGGGCUCUAAAUAAGCCUGUAAGAGACUUAAAGAGGUGGGAUAGCACAGCGGUGGAGCAAGUACUCAACUAGGAUUCCUGAGAAAUAGAUUUUACUUGUUCUGUGCUCUUUGGUAAAUCAUUUGACUACUUCAAUAUCUUCAAUUGCAGAAAGAAGUAAAUGGGACAAUUGUCACAACACUAUUGUGACAGUUAAGGUGAUAUGCAAAAAUACUGUGAGGAGGACAGUGUUCAGCACACAUAAGCAUUCAAUUAGUACUGGUUAAUUUUAUUUCUAGGCCCCAACAUUCUGACACCCAGUUAGUAUUUUCAGUUAAGACUGUUGGCUGUAGCCUUUCAGAUGAUGGUUAUGAUGGCUUCUUCAACUAGUCGGUCUGUUUCCAGUUUAUCCCUGAAGAUCACAGGCUCAGAAGAUUUGCCAUCAACGUGGGUUAAGAAUUACAUGGAACAGCAGAGGGCGCCCUGCUCCACGUUUCUAGGACUGUAAAGCAAGUACCUGCCCAAUCCUGCCACUUGGAACUUGUGUGAAUGACAGCCGAACCUAAUUUCCACAAGAUCAGGAAGCUGCCUGUCCUCUUUAUUGUUAAAUCUUCAGCAUUAGCACUCAACUGGUCAGUUAUGCGGAAUUCUGGACCGAACUUCAACCAGCUUGUCCUCCAUUACCGAAUGAGUAUAGCUAUUGCUCAUGCUGCUUACGACAGAUAUAGGAACAUAAAGGCCAUCUGAAGGAAGAGAGGUGGUCAAGCUGGGCUCCAGUAACCAUGGGGUUGUAGACGCUUCAAUAAUAAUAAUAAAACGCUAUGACAAAUAAAAACAUGUCCUGCACCCAAUGACUCACAGCUCUAAGCUAAUCCCACAAUGGGCACACCUCAGUAUUAAAAACAUGAGAGAGAGGGAGAAAUACAUUUCCAUGUAUGUCUAUCUGUUUGGUAACCACAACAACCAGCCACAGAUGGGAAGUGACUCCCUAACAAAUAAUUUUGUGUGAAGUUAAGACCAUCCCACUGGCUCCUGAACUGUCACCUGGGGCCUGGAAGAAACAAGUGGCCCUAAGGCUAUUUAGGCUCCUUUAAAAAUGCUAAUCCUCUCCAGUGCCAGCACAAUUCUUUUUGUGGUUAGAGGAUGGCAGCACUAUAGGUGGGAUGGAAAACAACCAGCUAGCAUGAGGUACCCUAGGAGCCAGUCCGAAAUUACAGGGUGAUGCGUCAGGAUCCGGGAAAUAAUGGAUGUGGUGAGUGGGUCAUUCUUUCUCCUUGGCACAAGAGAACACACCUGGAACUCCAGCCUCCAUCCUCGAGGGUCUGAAUGCCAAAGCAAAAUGAACUUUAGAGACACCAGACACAAUCACACCACUUAAUAGAUUAUUAGAAUCAGGACCAGAGAGGGAAGAGACCCAGCCAAGGUCACACAGCAAUUAUGACUGAUGUUUCCAAAAAUAGAUUAUUGCAGAAGUAAAACAAAACUGGAAACAUGUAAACAUCAGGAGCAAUAAUAAACUGAAAUAAUUCAUUCAGUGAAACACCACUUGGUCUUGAAGGAAGAGAGGUUGUCAAUUUGGGCUCCAGAGCUGCUCACCACAGGAUGGAGAGAUUCCAUCUCCCACCUACAUCCACAGCCCUACCCCACCAUUGGGUCUCCCUUUUUCCAUCUCUGACUCUUUUUUUUUUUUUUUUGAUAGUCAUGUUACAUUUAUUACUCAGUUGAUAAUCGUGUUACAGUAGAAAUCGUGUUUCAUUUACUCCUCUGAACAUGACCUUGAAAGGUUUGCAGAUAAAGGUGCAUGAAAGAACCC